This 292-nucleotide ribosomal RNA is filed under the name uncultured bacterium. Its description in RNAcentral is "partial 16S ribosomal RNA". The record is from RNAcentral.
GGACUACCGGGGUUUCUAAUCCUUUUUGCUCCCCACGCUUUCGCAUAUCAGAGUCAGGAGGGCCCCAGUGCACUGCCUUCGCCUUUGGUGUUCCCCACGAUAUCAACGGAUUUCACCCCUACACCGUGAGUUCCAUGCACCUCUAACCCCCUCUAGUCAUGCCGUAUCUCCUGCACUUCCGGGGUUAGGCCCCGGGCUUUAACAGAAGACGCGCAAAACCUCCUACAUGCCCUUUACGCCCAAUAAAUCCGGAUAACGCUUGAGGCCUACGUAUUACCGCGGCUGCUGGCAC